AUGGGUGCAGACGUGCAGAGCCAUUAUUACACCUCCAGGCUAUUAGUUGUCUGUCCAAAACGUUCAGCUCUUUCUAUUGCAAAUCCUCAAUUUAAUUUUGUCAUUGCAUAGGAUACUCUUACAGGGAACUGACGUCGUUUCAGCUUGAAUGGCCAUCUUGCAUCUGUUGGUGUAAGACUUAUUCUAGGAAUAAGAACCCGUUUUCCUACGUAAGUUCCGGUGUUGUGCCGUCACCGAUACCUAUCAGCCAUUUAGCAAAAUCUUUCUCAGCUUGGUGGAACCUCAUAUUUUUCUCAAGAGUGAAUAUGGAGCAGUAGUUCCAUAAAUAUGAACGGUUGAUUGUUGCCAUAACAGUUUGUUGCCUCGUGCCUUGUGGAAUGACUGGUAGAAUUUGUCUAAAAUCACCACCAAGGAGUACUGUUUUCCCUCCAAAGGGUUUUGUUGCUGCAGCUGGAUCUGUCACAGAGAGUAAAUCUCGCAGAGUUCUAUCAAGAGCUUCAAAAACAAAUCGAUGACACAUAGGUGCUUCAUCCCAGAUGAUGAGAUCUAUCGGAAUCUUGAACCGCGAGUGUGCUGUUCUACCAUUAGGUAAAAGUAUAGCUGCGAUUCCAGAUGAUGCCACUGGUAGUACAAUUUUUCCCUGUGAUCUUAACUUUGAGAUGAUUGUCUUAUAAACAUAGGUUUUUCCUGUUCCUCCUGGUCCAUUGAGAAAAAAUAAUUUCCCUUUCAUACAGUCAAUUGAGUCAAGAACCGCUUCAUAUACUUUCUUCUGCUCUUCAUUUAAUGUUUGUAUUAACUUGAUAUGCUCUUCUUCUUGUUCAAGAAUAUUGUAACUUGUUUCAUCUCUGAGCAUUGAGUUUUUCAGUUUCUUCAUCAGUUCACUGUCUGGCUUUGGCAUGUCAUCAAAAUCGGCUAUGUCUUCAGCUAAGUGACGCCAACAAUGCUCCCACAGAAGGCAAGGACUGCUUAAUUCGCAGUAAAGUAACAAUGUGACAAAAAGAUGGCGAAGCUGGGAAGGAUAUGCAUAUUGUGCUGCUUCAUCCAUAGCCUGUUUCCAUUCUGAGUCACCAUUCAACAAUCCUCUUGCAUAACACGCUUCUUUGAAUGACUUGUGUUUGACAUUGUCGACUGUUUUCAUAUCAUCAAAGCUUGUCGGCCCUUUGAGUUUUUGCAUCUGAAUCCCACACGAAUUUUGUUGGGAACUGGGCAUAUGUAAGUUCUCUUGCUUCAGGACAUUGUUUGCACAUCUCAAAAUAUUCUGUGUACCGGUAACCUUGUUACGGCAGGUUUUCGUUCAUGUAUAUCAAAGGCAAAAAUUCGCCAAGAAGCUUCACAUGCAGAGAGAUACUUUAUGGCGGAUGAUCUACUGCACCAUUCAACAUUGAUAUGAGCUUUGUAUUUUUUAAGAAGCCGGAGAUUGUGAGGGUCUUGGAAACUUUUUUGUGCAUCUGUUAUCAACCAUACACUUUGAUCCACAUGGUCCAUGCAUCAUUAGUUGUUCAACUAAUAGAAAACCUUCCGGAUCAGUCUCUUUAUCUGGUAACUCAGAGUUAUGGUAAUGAAGAGAUCCGGAUUUCCAUACCAUCUGCAUAUUGCCAUUGCAUCUCGAUAAUUCUCGACCAUAUAUCGCGGUCCGCCUGUGAACGAAGAAGUAUAUGCGUCGACUAUGUAUUGGUGGAAAAGACGUUCUGAACGAACUAUUGUUCCUGGAAGUGUCAAUCGGGAUGCACUAUAAUAUCUCUAUCGGAGUUUGGGAAAGACAUGUCACCCACAAUAAGUCCUGCAAUUUCGUCUCCUUGUGGUCGUUUUCUUUUCCUUUUGAUAACGCGUUGAGACGGUUUUGAAGUUCGUUGGCGGUAUCAUAUAUGUAUAGCUGUGCAAAACGGGGUAUAUCUCCUUCGGCCGGUAGUAAAGAUCCCAUUCUGUGGUAGUUUUGACCAUGCAUACGAAAAGUGAAUGGACCAUUUCCUGAAUUGAUAUCGUAAUCGAUUUUCCCUCCCAUAGAAGAGGUUCGCGGGAUUGACGUAGGGAUAACUCGUCCUUGCUGACAGCAGAUUGAAAAUCUCAGCUCUUUGCCUUUCACUUUCAAGCUUUCUGAUUUCCACACCAAGGCUUUGCAGUACCUAUGCUUUUAUCCUGUUGAGCAGAGGAGAAUAAGAAUAUUUCCUUUUCGAUACCAAAGAAGCAUGUUUCCUUUUCCCAACAAAUGUAAUUAGUUUUCUAUAGUUUGUUGAUUCGGUACGUCUUUCCUUUUUGCAUUAGCUAGCAUAUUUACUUUUUAACCAUUUUGUGCUUAUUUUCAUAAUUUUAUUAUUUUUGUUGUGAAAGAAAAUAAGAUUGUACUUUUCUAUAA
Long non-coding RNA from Raphanus sativus (radish), 2353 nucleotides. RefSeq lists it as uncharacterized. Lineage: Eukaryota; Viridiplantae; Streptophyta; Magnoliopsida; Brassicales; Brassicaceae. The record is from RefSeq and is a predicted model, not a curated record. The transcript has 15 exons.